GAGACAGCAGUCGCCGCGGUAAUACGUAGGGUGCGAGCGUUAAUCGGAAUUACUGGGCGUAAAGCGAGCGCAGACGGUUAUUUAAGCAGGAUGUGAAAUCCCCGGGCUUAACCUGGGAACUGCGUUCUGAACUGGAUAGCUAGAGUGUGUCAGAGGGGGGUAGAAUUCCACGUGUAGCAGUGAAAUGCGUAGAGAUGUGGAGGAAUACCGAUGGCGAAGGCAGCCCCCUGGGAUAACACUGACGUUCAUGCUCGAAAGCGUGGGUAGCAAACAGAAUUAGAUACCCCCGUAGUCCCUGUCUCUUAUAC
Molecule: ribosomal RNA, 308 nt
Filed under: uncultured bacterium
Lineage: Bacteria
Description: partial 16S ribosomal RNA
Rfam family: Bacterial small subunit ribosomal RNA
Source: RNAcentral